This 341-nucleotide unclassified non-coding RNA is filed under the name Hevea brasiliensis (rubber tree). Lineage: Eukaryota; Viridiplantae; Streptophyta; Magnoliopsida; Malpighiales; Euphorbiaceae. The record is from RNAcentral.
CUCUUUGCAUACUUGUCUUUGCUCUGUAAGCUGCUCCCUUUUUGUGCUUUUUCUGUAUACAUAACUUACUUCCUCUCUAUUUUUUUUUUCUUUUGGGUCCCUCCCACAAAAAAAAAAAAAAAAAAAAAAAAAAAAAUCAUGAAGGCCUCACUGGAAAACAUAGAACUUAAUGAUAAUUGUGAAGGCUUUGCCGCUGAUAAGCACACAAAUCUGGAGACUGCUGGAACAGAGGCCAUUUAUGAUGGCAAUAGGAAUACUCUCCAAGCAACUUCUCCACAGCUCAGAAAGGGGCCUUUGGAGACAAAGAUUUGCAGAGAUCAACAAGGAGGCUCUUGUACGCG